RNAcentral lists this ribosomal RNA (274 nucleotides) under uncultured bacterium. RNAcentral describes it as "partial 16S ribosomal RNA". It matches the Rfam family "Bacterial small subunit ribosomal RNA", at positions 523 to 796 of the family's 1533-position model. The record is from RNAcentral.
AUACGGAGGGUGCAAGCGUUAAUCGGAAUUACUGGGCGUAAAGCGUACGUAGGCGGUCCGUUAAGUUAGAUGUGAAAGCCCCGGGCUUAACCCGGGAACUGCAUUUAAAACUGGCGGACUAGAGUUGAGUAGAGGGGAGUGGAAUUUCAGGUGUAGCGGUGAAAUGCGUAGAGAUCUGAAGGAACACCAGUGGCGAAGGCGACUCCCUGGACUCGAACUGACGCUGAGGUACGAAAGCGUGGGUAGCAAACGGGAUUAGAAACCCCAGUAGUCC